Molecule: ribosomal RNA, 1250 nt
Filed under: metagenome
Description: bacterial LSU rRNA
Rfam family: Bacterial large subunit ribosomal RNA
Source: RNAcentral
CCAUACGACCGUACCGCAAACCGACACUGGUGCGCGAGAUGAGUAUUCUAAGGCGCUUGAGAGAACUCAGGAGAAGGAACUCGGCAAAUUGACACCGUAACUUCGGAAGAAGGUGUGCCCUAUUAGUGUGUAGUGAACAACGAAGCAUGAAUGGGUUGCAAAAAAUCGGUGGCUGCGACUGUUUAUUAAAAACACAGCACUCUGCAAACACGAAAGUGGACGUAUAGGGUGUGACGCCUGCCCGGUGCUGGAAGAUUAAAUGAUGGGGUGCAAGCUCUUGAUUGAAGUCCCAGUAAACGGCGGCCGUAACAAUAACGGUCCUAAGGUAGCGAAAUUCCUUGUCGGGUAAGUUCCGACCUGCACGAAUGGCGUAACGAUGGCCACACUGUCUCCUCCUGAGACUCAGCGAAGUUGAAAUGUUUGUGAUGAUGCAAUCUCCCCGCGGAAAGACGGAAAGACCCCAUGAACCUUUACUGUAGCUUUGUAUUGGACUUUGAACAGAUCUGUGUAGGAUAGGUGGGAGGCUUUGAAGCAGGGUCGCUAGAUCUUGUGGAGCCAACGUUGAAAUACCACCCUGGUGUGUUUGAGGUUCUAACCUAGGUCCAUUAUCUGGAUCGGGGACAGUGCAUGGUAGGCAGUUUGACUGGGGCGGUCUCCUCCCAAAGCGUAACGGAGGAGUUCGAAGGUACGCUAGUUACGGUCGGACAUCGUGACGAUAGUGCAAUGGCAUAAGCGUGCUUAACUGCGAGACUGACAAGUCGAGCAGAUGCGAAAGCAGGACAUAGUGAUCCGGUGGUUCUGUAUGGAAGGGCCAUCGCUCAACGGAUAAAAGGUACUCUGGGGAUAACAGGCUGAUACCGCCCAAGAGUUCAUAUCGACGGCGGUGUUUGGCACCUCGAUGUCGGCUCAUCUCAUCCUGGGGCUGUAGCCGGUCCCAAGGGUAUGGCUGUUCGCCAUUUAAAGAGGUACGUGAGCUGGGUUUAAAACGUCGUGAGACAGUUUGGUCCCUAUCUUCCGUGGGCGCUGCAGAUUUGAGGAAGCCUGCUCCUAGUACGAGAGGACCGGAGUGGACACACCUCUGGUGUAUCGGUUGUCACGCCAGUGGCAUUGCCGAGUAGCUAAGUGUGGAAGAGAUAACCGCUGAAAGCAUCUAAGCGGGAAACACGUUUCAAGAUGAGAUCUGCCGGGGCCUUGAGCCCCCUAAAGAGUCGUUCAAGACCAGGACGUUGAUAGGUCAGGUGUGGAAGUGA